RNAcentral lists this ribosomal RNA (264 nucleotides) under uncultured Glomus. Its description in RNAcentral is "partial 18S ribosomal RNA". It matches the Rfam family "Eukaryotic small subunit ribosomal RNA", at positions 624 to 886 of the family's 1831-position model. Lineage: Eukaryota; Fungi; Glomeromycota; Glomeromycetes; Glomerales; Glomeraceae. The record is from RNAcentral.
AAGCUCGUAGUUGAAUUUCGGGAUUGACGUAAUGGUCAUGCCUUAAGGGGUAUGAACUGUUACUGUUGAUUUCUCACCUUCUGGAGAAACUUGAUGUCCUUUAUUGGGUGUCUUGCGGAUCCAGGACCUUUACCUUGAAAAAAUUAGAGUGUUUAAAGCAGGCAUUUUUGCUCGAAUACAUUAGCAUGGAAUAAUAGAAUAGGACGGCAUGGUUCUAUUUUGUUGGUUUCUGAAUCACCGUAAUGAUUAAUAGGGAUAGUUGGG